RNAcentral lists this ribosomal RNA (426 nucleotides) under uncultured Geminicoccus sp. RNAcentral describes it as "bacterial SSU rRNA". It matches the Rfam family "Bacterial small subunit ribosomal RNA", at positions 505 to 938 of the family's 1533-position model. Lineage: Bacteria; Pseudomonadati; Pseudomonadota; Alphaproteobacteria; Geminicoccales; Geminicoccaceae. The record is from RNAcentral.
GUGCCAGCAGCCGCGGUAAGACGGAGGGUGCUAGCGUUGUUCGGAAUUACUGGGCGUAAAGGGCGCGUAGGCGGCUACGGCAGUCGGGUGUGAAAGCCCGGGGCUCAACCCCGGAACGGCAUCCGAUACUCUGUGGCUAGAGACCGGAAGAGGUGGGUGGAAUACCCAGUGUAGAGGUGAAAUUCGUAGAUAUUGGGUGGAACACCGGUGGCGAAAGCGGCUCACUGGUCCGGUUCUGACGCUGAGGCGCGAAAGCGUGGGGAGCAAACAGGAUUAGAUACCCUGGUAGUCCACGCCCUAAACGAUGCGAGCUGGAUGUCGGGGGCUUGCCCUCGGUGUCGAAGCUAACGUGUUAAGCUCGCCGCCUGGGAGUACGGCGCAAGGUUAAACUCAAAGGAUUGACGGGGCCGCACGAAGCGGUGGAGC